GAUGAACGCUGGCGGCGUGCCUAAUACAUGCAAGUCGAGCGAACGGACGAGAAGCUUGCUUCUCUGAUGAUAGCGGCGGACGGGUGAGUAACACGUGGAUAACCUACCUAUAAGACUGGGAUAACUUCGGGAAACCGGAGCUAAUACCGGAUGAUAUUUUGAACCGCAUGGUUCAAAAGUGAAAGACGGUCUUGCUGUCACUUAUAGAUGGAUCCGCGCUGCAUUAGCUAGUUGGUAAGGUAACGGCUUACCAAGGCAACGAUGCAUAGCCGACCUGAGAGGGUGAUCGGCCACACUGGAACUGAGACACGGUCCAGACUCCUACGGGAGGCAGCAGUAGGGAAUCUUCCGCAAUGGGCGAAAGCCUGACGGAGCAACGCCGCGUGAGUGAUGAAGGUCUUCGGAUCGUAAAACUCUGUUAUUAGGGAAGAACAUAUGUGUAAGUAACUGUGCACAUCUUGACGGUACCUAAUCAGAAAGCCACGGCUAACUACGUG
This 497-nucleotide ribosomal RNA is filed under the name uncultured bacterium. RNAcentral's name for it is "partial 16S ribosomal RNA". It matches the Rfam family "Bacterial small subunit ribosomal RNA", at positions 28 to 507 of the family's 1533-position model. The record is from RNAcentral.